AAUAGAUACCCAGGUAGUCCACGCCGUAAACGAUGAUAACUAGCUGUCCGGGCUCAUGGAGCUUGGGUGGCGCAGCUAACGCAUUAAGUUAUCCGCCUGGGGAGUACGGUCGCAAGAUUAAAACUCAAAGGAAUUGACGGGGGCCUGCACAAGCGGUGGAGCAUGUGGUUUAAUUCGAAGCAACGCGCAGAACCUUACCAGCCUUUGACAUCCCGGUCGCGGUUAGAGGAGACUCUUUCCUUCAGUUCGGCUGGACCGGUGACAGGUGCUGCAUGGCUGUCGUCAGCUUGUGUCGUGAGAUGUUGGGUUAAGUCCCGCAACGAGCGCAACCCUCGUCCUUAGUUGCCAUCAUUUAGUUGGGCACUCUAAGGAAACCGCCGGUGAUAAGCCGGAGGAAGGUGGGGAUGACGUCAAGUCCUCAUGGCCCUUACAGGCUGGGCUACACACGUGCUACAAUGGCGGUGACAGUGGGCAGCAAACCCGCGAGGGUGAGCUAAUCUCCAAAAGCCGUCUCAGUUCGGAUUGUUCU
Molecule: ribosomal RNA, 529 nt
Filed under: uncultured bacterium
Lineage: Bacteria
Description: bacterial SSU rRNA
Rfam family: Bacterial small subunit ribosomal RNA
Source: RNAcentral